UCAAAAUGCCUCAGCUAUGUGAGAUUGAUCGCAUAACCCAAUACACGAGGCAACCCUCGGAUCGAAUUGUCGAUUAUAUCUCUACCUAUUCAUAAGUUCACUCAGCCCGGAUAUAGGACUUUGAUAUUCUCACCUCACACGUUAAAUGAAAACAAACAAAUAUUCACAUGUAUAAACAAUAAGGUAAAGUGUAAACAUAAAACGGAAAAACUAGGUGUGACCCGCUUAAAACGUCCCCAGUGAAGUCGCCAUUUCUGUUAUCACGAUUUUGGGAUAUCAAGUCAUUAAUUAGGCUUGAACCUUUCAAUCUUUGAUAUUCUCUAUUUUUUCUUGGGAAGGGUAAAAUUGAGAAAA
RNAcentral lists this long non-coding RNA (354 nucleotides) under Medicago truncatula (barrel medic). Its description in RNAcentral is "long non-coding RNA (MTRU_LNC008383)". Lineage: Eukaryota; Viridiplantae; Streptophyta; Magnoliopsida; Fabales; Fabaceae. The record is from RNAcentral.